UUUUGUUUUUGUACUAACGGAAGUGGUUGGUUUGGCUCAAAAUUCUAAAUUCCUUGUGCUUUAAAAACUCUUUCUUUCUCGAUUUUGAAGCAGUCUCUCUAACCAGAGCCUUAUUAUAGGCACAAACCCCGUUCUUCUCUCUCUUUUGCGUUGUUUGGCUAUUGGGUUUUUGGUGGCUCACAAUCCCAAAUGAGCAUCUCUCUUUUUUUUAUGUGUUUAGCCGCAAAACCUUCCCUUUCUUUCCCUUUCAAUGGAGUUGUAAAGCAAAAAAGGGGGAUGAUGAUUAUGAUGAAUCAAUGAGCUACCACCGACUCUGUCCUUUCUCUCUUUUUUUCUUAUUCUCCUCCUCCGUUUUUAUAGAAUUCAAAGUCAACCUUCUCGUCUCGUCUUCUCUCUAACGAACUUGUUUCUUUGAGAGAGAGGUGGGAUUUGGGUUUAUGGGUUUUGCCUUUGGUGGCAUGCGGGCGGCUUUUCAUUCUGUUUAAAGGUUUAUUUAUUGAAAUUUUAUUUUGGGGUUUGUUUUGAAUUUUGUUUGUUUUUAAAAUUAUUGGGUCGUUAGUCUCCAUUAACAUAAUGGUUGGAAUUGGGUCGUUUUCUUAGGGUUUACUUUUUGUUUUUAUUUGUAUUUUAUUUGUGGUUUUAUUUAAAUCAGUUGAUGCAAUAAAAAAUUGGUUGGUGAUAGGGAAUUUGGGGUUUUUUUAGGUCAAAUUUUUCAGGCAGUACAGAGAAAGUAUUUUGCUUACUCAUUUUCUGAUUGGUGAGGAAUCUAUUAUAAAAUUUUGGUUAUAAGGUCAAUAUUGGAUAGAAGGAUUUUGGGUUGGUGAAUUGGGUUUCUGUUUGAUCAAAAUUUUCACUACAAUAUUUGAUCGGUAAUUUGAUCUUUGGUAAGCCUUGUUGAAUUUUCGUUGCCGAUUGAAAAUUGCAUGUUCUUUUAUCAUUAAUGUUUAUUGGAAUUCGAAGACAAUGAUGCAAAAUUGAAAUUUAUAUGGAUCAGUUCUUUAUAGGAUAGUAAGCAAUAGUAUUGUUUCUGGCUUUUGUUAUUUUUUGAUUGCUGCCUGAGAUUUAAGGCUAUCUUUGAGAUUUAAGGAAUCAUAUUUGUAUUUGGUUCUUUACAAUGGAUUCAAGAACAAGUGGUGAUGCCGGGGGUAUCACGGCAGAGGGGAAAUCUGAUAAUCAAUCAAUGGUGAAAGGUACAGGAAGUGUUAGUAGCAAAGAUAUGAUUUUUCGAGCAGAUAAAAUCGAUCUUAAGAGCUUGGAUGUACAGCUGGAGAAGCACUUGAGCAGGGUUUGGUCUAGGAACGUUGAGAACCAAAGGCCUGCAGAAGUGUGGGAGAUCGAUUUGUCUAAAUUGGACAUAAAGCAUGUCAUAGCCCACGGAACUUAUGGGACUGUGUAUCGUGGUAUCUACGAUAACCAGGAUGUUGCAGUGAAGCUGUUGGACUGGGGUGAGGAUGGUAUUGCCACAACUGCUGAAACCGCUGCUCUGCGGGCAUCAUUUCGGCAAGAGGUUGCUGUUUGGCACAAGCUUGACCAUCCUAAUGUCACAAAAGUACAAACUUAUUCUUAAACUUUUAUUCCCUUUAUUGUCAUGACACCAACGUGAUUUUAACAUAAAAAUAAGAUGGCAUUUAUGGGCUGUGCAAUUUUUAUCACAAUUUCACAAACUUCUACUGUACAUUCUUGAUAUUGCCUUCUAAUUUACGUGUGUGAUUUUGUUAUGACAUUUUCUCAAUUUUUAUCGUGUUUAUAUUUCAACAACCAAAGCAUUUUGUGCAUACUUGAGCAAGUCUUGGAACCUGGAACUUUUCUACAUACUACAUAAACAAGGAUGCGCCCUGCAAUUGUAUCCGUUAAAGUAGGAUUCUUUCUUCUGUUGUAUUUUUAAUCCUUUGUGUUACAAUUUUCUAAACAGUUUGUUGGAGCAUCAAUGGGAACAUCAAAUCUCAAAAUUCCUGCAAAAGACAUGUCUGAUGGUCAAACUUCUCUCCCUUCCAGGGCAUGUUGUGUAGUUGUUGAGUAUCUCCCUGGUGGGACUCUAAAAAAUUACUUGAUAAGAAAUAGGCGGAAGAAACUUGCUUUUAAGAUUGUGGUCCAACUGGCUUUGGAUCUCUCUAGGGGGUGAGUACUGGUUGCCAGUCAUUUUUGUCUAGAAAUUUGUAAAUAAGCUAAUCAGUGAUGGGGAUUCUACUUUUUGUACAUAUUUGCAGACUUAGCUAUCUACAUUCAAAGAAAAUUGUACAUCGUGAUGUCAAAACUGAAAACAUGUUAUUGGAUUCUCAUCGAACUCUUAAAAUCGCUGAUUUUGGUGUUGCCCGUGUUGAAGCUCAGAAUCCAAGGGACAUGACUGGUGAAACUGGUACCCUUGGAUACAUGGCCCCAGAGGUAUCCAUUCCUUCGCAACAUUUGAUAUGUUUUCUGAUGAGGAAAUAUUUUUAAACCAUCUUUGUAUAUGUUAUUUUCACCUAUUGAAAGCAAGUAGGAUUACUGUUUCACAAUGAAUGGCUAUUUCAGUAUGUGCAAAGAAAAUGAAGAGGGAAAGAAAUUCUGAAGUAUAUGUCCCAAUACUGUGUGAAAGUUAAUCUUCUAUAGGACAUCUUCAAUGUGGGUCUCUGUUGUUGCAUCUAAUAAGAUACCUUACAGUCAUUGGUAAACUAGUAGACAGAGAAAUGAAAAUGCAGUUGAAUUUGCAUAUUUGACGUGUGGUUGAAUGCUUUCUAACAAGACACUUUAUGCAGGUUCUUGAUGGCAAGCCGUAUAAUAGAAGCUGUGAUGUCUACAGCUUUGGCAUAUGCUUGUGGGAAAUUUAUUGCUGUGAUAUGCCCUACCCUAAUCUUAGCUUUGCUGAUGUGUCAUCUGCUGUUGUUCGACAGAAUCUACGACCAGAGAUCCCAAGAUGCUGUCCAAGUUCUUUAGCAACUAUCAUGCGAAAAUGCUGGGAUGCAAAUGCAGAAAAACGUCCUGAAAUGGCUGAGGUGGUGCGUAUGUUAGAAGCCAUCGAUACAAGCAAGGGAGGAGGGAUGAUUCCUGAUGACCAGGCACCUGGCUGUUUCUGUUUUGCCCCUGCUCGUGGUCCUUGAGUUCCUUGUUUGUCCUUUUGUCCAUUCUUUUGAUUCUCAUUUUAUUUGAAAGCACAGAUGGAAUCAUGUCAACUAGCUUUUUGAUUGAUUUUUGCCUGACAUUUUCUUUACAGUAAUGAAAACAUGCUAUAAGGUUCAUAAAGUUUAACUCUUUGCAUCUCAAAUUAUGUUAGCCUGGUAUGGCUAUUUUGAUGGUGACAGUAAACGAGUGAUGCAAUGCAUAUUUGCUAUGAAUUCUCGCAUGUCUUGUACAGGGGUUUUGGUUGCAGGGUGGUGAUUGCGUAUGAAACCUGACAGUGACACGGGUGGCAUACUGAAGAUGAGAAGAGCAGGAACUGCUCUUUACACAUUUAGCAACUCUAUGCUUCCCUUGCUAAAAUUUAACCUCAAGCCUAGAAACAAAUUUUGUUUUAAAUCUAAGCCUUCU
RNAcentral lists this unclassified non-coding RNA (3504 nucleotides) under Hevea brasiliensis (rubber tree). Lineage: Eukaryota; Viridiplantae; Streptophyta; Magnoliopsida; Malpighiales; Euphorbiaceae. The record is from RNAcentral.